Molecule: ribosomal RNA, 249 nt
Filed under: uncultured Pseudomonas sp.
Lineage: Bacteria; Pseudomonadati; Pseudomonadota; Gammaproteobacteria; Pseudomonadales; Pseudomonadaceae
Description: partial 16S ribosomal RNA
Rfam family: Bacterial small subunit ribosomal RNA
Source: RNAcentral
UGGGGAAUAUUGGACAAUGGGCGAAAGCCUGAUCCAGCCAUGCCGCGUGUGUGAAGAAGGUCUUCGGAUUGUAAAGCACUUUAAGUUGGGAGGAAGGGCAUUAACCUAAUACGUUGGUGUCUUGACGUUACCGACAGAAUAAGCACCGGCUAACUCUGUGCCAGUAGCCGCGGUAAUACAGAGGGUGCAAGCGUUAAUCGGAAUUACUGGGCGUAAAGCGCGCGUAGGUGGUUUGUUAAGUUGGAUGUG